This is a non-coding RNA of Cricetulus griseus (Chinese hamster), 1560 nucleotides long. NCBI's taxonomy places the organism in Eukaryota, Metazoa, Chordata, Mammalia, Rodentia, Cricetidae. The record is from RefSeq and is a predicted model, not a curated record.
ACAGCCUAACACUCCAACUUGGUUCCUCUCUGCUCCACAUACUAGGAUCAGCAGGCUUAUCUUGGAAAGACUCCUUGGAAAGAUAAGUAAGUUUAUCUUGGAAAGAGUCCAGCAGAGAAUUCCGGCCCUACCCCAACACCCUGAUACAGUAUACACGAGGAGCCAUAACUCCUGAUCCAGGAAUCAUUUCUGCAGCAAUCACCCUGGGUGGCAGAGCUGGCUGUCCAGAUGGCUGGGAUUGUAUUUCAAGAACAUGUCACUUUCUAAAGAGAACUCCAGCUUGUUGUAGAAUUUCUGGUGCACCCCUGCAGCCACUGAGCCUUUGGAGAUGAAGCUUCAAGGCUAGAGGCAACUCUGGAAGCCUGAGCAUGAUUACAUUGUUGAAUAAAACACAGAGACAACAACUUUAAUUAUUAUGAAGAUGCAUCACUCUUAUACAAUAUUCAACAUUAGUUAAAUCCAAUUACAAUCACCCAGCAUCCAGCGAUCUUCUUCAAAGCCAUUUCCACAAGGUAACAAAUGAGCCAUCUUGCAAACUCAUCAAAAGAAAGGAAAAGCCUUCUUGUGGUCAGCUGAGCCUCAAACCUGCUGUCAAGAAGGUAAACUGGAUACUGGAUGGAGGGCCCUGAGGGAGAGGAGGAGGGACAAUCAAGAGCUAGAAGUGAAUACUCCGAAGGUUCUGAGGAGCUGAGAACGGUGGUGCAGGAAGACAUAGAGCAGGAAGACAGCACCAGCUCUGAGCCUGGCCAGCCUGGUCUACAAGUUCUAGGACACCCAAGGCUACUCUGAGUAACCUUGUCUCAAAAGGAAGGAGGAGAAGGAGGAACUUCAUACUCACCAUACAUAUUCUGGGUGCUGUCUUAACACUUUGUGGAUUUUGACUUAUGAUUCUCAUAAUGUUCUAAUGACAACAGAAGAGAAGAAACACAAGCUCGACUCAUGUGUCCUAGAUUCCACAGCACCUCCAGCUUUGCUUCCUAGGGGCAGGACUAUCAGCAACACCUCACCAAAAGGAAAUGGACCCUGAACUAAGUAUCUCUGCAGCCAGAUUUUCCUGUGUGUUCUGGGAAAGAGGAACAAAAUGAGACGAUGAGAAAGUCGGUUUGCAUUUCCCCAGUUGCUUCACCUUAGAUGAGUGUUACAGACAAGUCCCGGUGUAUACACUUUCUUGGGGCAACAGGGAUGGGAGGGCUUAUUAAACUGUGAUUGGAUCUGAAGUAUGUGCCAUUUCUAUCAUGAAGUCAUCAGACAGUAAGUGAACAAAGAGGAAGAUAACAGGCAUCCGGAGUGUUUGCUCAAGCAUAAAGAAGGGUCCCAAAUAUCCAUAGUGAUUGUCCCCCAUUGGAUUUGUGCCACAUCUUAUGUCAGUGAGUCACUUCUGCUUACUGAACCAUGAACCACAAAGUGCCCCUAGUCACUGGAACAACCCUGUUUGACUGCCUGGAGGACUGUUUCUGGGGUGGAAUUCGAGAUGCUUCAGGCAUCAUCAAUUAAAGAAGCAACACAAACCUGGACAUGGGGUCUCUGAGGGCAGUGGGACUAUAGGUGAUAUGGUUGCAU